Lycium barbarum (goji berry) is the source of this 3024-nucleotide RNA transcript. RefSeq lists it as uncharacterized. The transcript is spliced from 4 exons. NCBI's taxonomy places the organism in Eukaryota, Viridiplantae, Streptophyta, Magnoliopsida, Solanales, Solanaceae. The record is from RefSeq and is a predicted model, not a curated record.
UAAUAACAUAUCAAACUCAUUUCCCACUCAAAAUCUAUGACUAUGGAGAACACGUGCGGCUACGGUUUUCAAAACUAAGAAAUUUUAAAGCUUAUUCAUUAUGGUUAAUUUGGAGUUAAUAUUCAACUAUGGUGGGGAUUGGACUUAUGAGGCAAAAGUCAAGUAUGAGAAGAGGUUCUAUAACAUUUGGGAAGGUUAUGACUCUGACCAUCUAUCUUUUAAUGAUGUUGUAGAUGAGUACUGUAAUAACUUAGGGUUUGUUGGGGUUCAACAACUCUUAGUAGCUGCCCCUUCUGGUAAAUUAUAUGAAAUCAUUGCUGAUAGUGGUAUUAGGAGGUUACUGGCAAUGGUUAGUGAUGAUUACUAUGUGAUUAACUUAUUUGCUAUUGAUGAUUGUGAGUUAGCAGUUGAUGUGCCUAAUAUCCUAAAUUAUGAUGAACCUUUUGAACCUAAUGUUGAUGCUUUUGAAUCCAAUGUUGUUAGUGUUGAACCUAGUUUAGGGGUUGCUACUAAUUGUAGAUCAACUGAUGCUGAGGAUGAAAAUGACUCUGUUUUUUCUGAUUAUGAAUCUGAAGACUUAGAAUUUAUUGCUAACCAAAGGAGGGUGAACAUUACUGAUCAGUUGUUAGAUUACAAAGAACUUGACAAUAGUAUGACCUUCAAGGACAUUAAUGAAGCUAGGAAAUGUCUGAAAUUGUAUGCUUUGGCAAAUAAGAAAGAGUUGCAGGUUAGAAAAAGUGAUUCAAAAAAGCUGAGGUAUGAGUAUCAAGUAGGUUGUCCAUUUGUUUGUCUUAUUUCUAAGGAUGGGAACUGCCCUGGGGUUAGAAUCAAGACCCUAAACACAGAACAUAAUUGCUUUAUUGCUUAUGAUAACAAUAGGGUUGACUACUACACCAUUGCACAUUACUUUAAGAAGAAGCUUCAAAAUAAUCCCAAAUAUAAAGUAAAGGACAUGAGGGCUGACUUAAAGGCUACAUUUGAACUUAAUGCAAGUCAUGGCAAGUGCAAAAAGGCAAAAAACUUGAUUCUGAAUAAGCUGGAUGAUAGCUUUAAGGAUGAUUAUAAUAGGUUAGAGGCAUAUGGCAACGAGUUGAGGAUUAGCAACCCUAGAAGUGAUAUUAUUUUCAAUUUGUCAAAAGAUGCACUUAUGGAAGGUAAGAGAAGGUUCUGUAGAAUAUAUAUUUGUUUGCAUGCAUUGAAGAUGGGUUUCAAGGAAGGUUUGAGACCUUUCAUUGGAUUGGACGGGACAUUUCUCAAGGGAAAAGCUAAGGGUCAACUUUUGGUUAUUGUUGCACUUGACUCAAACAACCAUUUUUAUCCUAUAGCUUGGGUUGUAGUUGAAAAAGAGACUAAGAAAACAUGGGAUUGGUUCUUGGGAUUGCUGAAGAUGUCACUUGAACUAAACAUGGGAGAGGGAUACACUAUCAUUUCUGAUAUGCAAAAGGAGUUGCUUGAGGCAAUGAAAAUUGUCCUCCCUGAAGCUAACCAUAGGUUUUAUGUUAGACAAGUUGAGGCAAAUUGCAUGAAAAGGUGGAGAUCUGGUGAAAUGAAGAAGUUGUUGUGGUGGAGUGCAUGGUCCAUCUUUGAAGAGGAGUUUGAUGACCAACUAAGGAAGCUAGGGGAAAUGGAUGAAGAUGUUGUCAAAGACCUGAUCCAUUAUCCUCCCCAGUGCUGGUGUAGAGCUUUUUUUGAUACUGUUAGCAAAAAUAUGGCUGUGGAUAACAACUUUACAGAAUUGUUUAAUGCAUGGAUCUUAGAUGCAAGGUAAAAACCCAUAAUUAUAAUGCUAGAGGACGUUAGGUUGAAAGUAAUGAACAUGUUGAGGGAACAUGAUGAGAGGGUGAGGGCAUGGCCAGAAAACUUCAGUCCUCAUUGUAUGAUGCUUUAUGCUGAUUAUCUGAGAAUUGCCCAUUUUUGUGUGCUUUAUUUUAAUAGUGACUUUGGAUAUGAGAUUUUUUAAGGGAGUGAUAGACACACAGUGAACUUGGAGGCUAAGCAAUGUACUUGCAGGACAUGGCAGCUUUCUGGCAUACCAUGUCCUCAUGCUAUCAAAGCUUUGAUGUACAAGAGGAUUGACCCCUUCACUGAAAUUCAUUGGUGGUACAGCAAAGAAGCAGCCUUAAAAACUUAUUCAUAUAAGUUGCAAACUGUUAGGGGGGAAAAUUCUGGAAGGUAGAGCCUUCUCAUGCAAUGGAUCCACCACAAAUUGUCAAGCUAGCUGGCAGGCCUAAGGUGAAGAGGGAUAGAUCCAAGGAUGAAGCAAUCAAGAGAAAAGGAGCAUGGUCUGCUUCAAGGAAAGGCAGGGUUAUUGUAUGUAACAACUGUGGAGAAUCAAACCACAAUACAAAAGGGUGCAAAAAGGGAAAAAAAGCAACAGAAAAGGAAGAAGGUAGUUGUUGAUUAUGAAGAUAUUGAUAUGGACACACCAGUGGACAUACAACUAUCUGGACCAGAGCCAACUGAAGAAUCUAGCAAUCCAGCAACUCAGACAUUUGUCUUCAUGCCUACACCAACAGUGAGUGCACAUCAGCCCAGCAACAGUGAAUGUCCAGACUUUGAGUUUCCAGAAUUUGCAAAUGAAGAGGAGCCUAACUUGAGGCCUAAAGUUGUUUCAGAGGCAAGGACUAGGCUGCAGAAGAGAAAAGAGGCACAAAUGGUCAUUGGGACAAGAACUAUCAACUUAAGGGGUGAUGCAGCUGGUGUGAGUGAGCCAACAAAUUUAUCAUACUAACCAAGGGACUCAGAAUGGGGGGGGGGGGGUAUAAAGCUAUUACGCGCCACAAACUAAACAAAUUACUUGCUGAUGUAAUUAAUGGCUUAUGCCAAUAUAUUUGGCAGCAACUCUUUAGUGUUUUGGUAUGUUUGAAAGGAUGCCAUAGUAUAACUUAGGUGGUGAUUUGUUUUGUGGGUUAUAAUAUGGCAGCCGUUUGUUAUUUUUCAACUUGUAUGUUGACACUUAUUCAGGUAUGUGAAUUUAUGGUAAUCACCAUUUAGUAUGCCGAAUUGUCUUUGUCCAUUUAUAAC